GAUGAACGCUGGCGGCGUGCCUAACACAUGCAAGUCGAGCGAACGGACGAUAAGCUUGCUUCUUUGGUGUUAGCGGCGGACGGGUGAGUAACACGUGGAUAACCUACUUAUAAUACUGGGAUAAUUUCGGGAAACCGGAGCUAAUACCGGAGGAUAUUUUGAACCGCAUGGUGCAAAAGAGAAAGACGGUCUUGCUGUCACGUAUAGAUGGAUCCGCGCUGGAUUAGUUAGUUGGUAAGGUAACGGCUUACCAAGGCAACGAUGCGUAGCCGACCUGAGAGGGUGAUCGGCCACACUGGAACUGAGACACGGUCCAGAUUCCUACGGGAGGCAGCAGUAGGGAAUAUUCGGCAAUGGGCGAAAGCCUGACGCAGCAACGCCGCGUGAGUGAUGAAGGUCUUCGGAUCGUAAAACUCUGUUAUUAGGGAAGAACAUCUGUGUCAGUAACUGUGCACAUCUUGACGGUACCUAAUCAGAAAGCCACGGCUAACUACGUG
This 497-nucleotide ribosomal RNA is filed under the name uncultured bacterium. RNAcentral's name for it is "partial 16S ribosomal RNA". It matches the Rfam family "Bacterial small subunit ribosomal RNA", at positions 28 to 507 of the family's 1533-position model. The record is from RNAcentral.